GGGGAUUUAGCUCAGUGGUAGAGCGCUUGCCUAGCAAGCACAAGGCCCUGGGUUUAGUCCCCA
This is a non-coding RNA of Rattus norvegicus (Norway rat), 63 nucleotides long. The record is from Rfam. NCBI's taxonomy places the organism in Eukaryota, Metazoa, Chordata, Mammalia, Rodentia, Muridae.